This 206-nucleotide ribosomal RNA is filed under the name uncultured bacterium. Its description in RNAcentral is "partial 16S ribosomal RNA". It matches the Rfam family "Bacterial small subunit ribosomal RNA", at positions 568 to 774 of the family's 1533-position model. The record is from RNAcentral.
UGCGUAGGUGGUUCUCUAAGUUCGGUGUGAAAUCUCCCGGCUCAACUGGGAGGGUGCGCCGAAAACUGGAGAGCUUGAGUAUGGGAGAGGAGAGCGGAAUUCCUGGUGUAGCGGUGAAAUGCGUAGAUAUCAGGAGGAACACCUGUGGUGCAGACGGCUCUCUGGACCAUUACUGACACUGAGGCACGAAAGCGUGGGAGCAAACA